GGUUAAGCGAAUAAGCGUACACGGUGGAUGCCUAGGCAAUCAGAGGCGAUGAAGGACGUGCUAAUCUGCGAAAAGCGUCGGUAAGGUGAUAUGAACCGUUAUACCCGACGAUAUCCGAAUGGGGAAACCCAGUAUCCAAUGGAUACUAUCAUUAACUGAAUCCAUAGGUUAAUGAGGCGAACCGGGAGAACUGAAACAUCUCAGUACCCCGAGGAAAAGAAAUCAACCGAGAUUCCCCUAGUAGCGGCGAGCGAACGGGGAGCAGCCCAGAGUCUUAAUCAAUAGCAGUGUCAGGAGAACGGUCUGGAAAGUCCGGCAGUAAAGGGUGAUAGCCCCGUAUCUGAAGAUGCUGUUAUUGUGAACUCGACGAGUAGGGCGGGACACGUGUUAUCCUGUCUGAAUAUGGGGGGACCAUCCUCCAAGGCUAAAUACUCCUGAUUGACCGAUAGUGAACCAGUACCGUGAGGGAAAGGCGAAAAGAACCCCGGCGAGGGGAGUGAAAAAGAACCUGAAACCGUGUACGUACAAGCAGUAGGAGCCUCUUUAUGGGGUGACUGCGUACCUUUUGUAUAAUGGGUCAGCGACUUAUAUUCUGUAGCAAGGUUAACCGUAUAGGGGAGCCGUAGGGAAACCGAGUCUUAACUGGGCGAAUGAGUUGCAGGGUAUAGACCCGAAACCCGGUAAUCUAUCCAUGGGCAGGUUGAAGGUUGGGUAACACUAACUGGAGGACCGAACCGACUAAUGUUGAAAAAUUAGCGGAUGACUUGUGGAUGGGGGUGAAAGGCCAAUCAAACCGGGAGAUAGCUGGUUCUCCCCGAAAGCUAUUUAGGUAGCGCCUCGUGAACUCAUCUUCGGGGGUAGAGCACUGUUUCGACUAGGGGGUCAUCCCGACUUACCAACUCGAUGCAAACUGCGAAUACCGAAGAAUGUUAUCACGGGAGACACACGGCGGGUGCUAACGUCCGUCGUGAAGAGGGAAACAACCCAGACCGCCAGCUAAGGUCCCAAAGUCAUGGUUAAGUGGGAAACGAAGUGGGAAGGCUCAGACAGCCAGGAUGUUGGCUUAGAAGCAGCCAUCAUUUAAAGAAAGCGUAAUAGCUCACUGGUCGAGUCGGCCCGCGCGGAAGAUGUAACGGGGCUAAACCAUGCACCGAAGCUGCGGCAGCGACACAAAGUGUUGUUGGGUAGGGGAGCGUUCUGUAAGCCUGCGAAGGUGUACUGUGAGGUAUGCUGGAGGUAUCAGAAGUGCGAAUGCUGACAUAAGUAACGAUAAUGCGGGUGAAAAACCCGCACGCCGGAAGACCAAGGGUUCCUGUCCAACGUUAAUCGGGGCAGGGUGAGUCGACCCCUAAGGCGAGGCUGAAAAGCGUAGUCGAUGGGAAACGGGUUAAUAUUCCCGUACUGGUGGUAACUGCGAUGGGGGAACGGAGAAGGCUAGGUUGUCCGGGCGACGGUCGUCCCGGUUCAAGCAGGUAGGCAGAGUGAUUAGGCAAAUCCGGUCACUUAAUGCUGAGAUGUGAUGACGAACCACCAAGGUGGUGAAGCAAUUGAUGCCCCGCUUCCAGGAAAAGCCUCUAAGCUUCAGGUUACCAACAAUCGUACCCCAAACCGACACAGGUGGUCAGGUAGAGAAUACUCAGGCGCUUGAGAGAACUCGGGUGAAGGAACUAGGCAAAAUGGUGCCGUAACUUCGGGAGAAGGCACGCUGGCGGUAGGUAAAGUCCCUCGCGGACGGCGCUGAAGCCAGUCGAAGAUACCAGCUGGCUGCAACUGUUUAUUAAAAACACAGCACUGUGCAAACACGAAAGUGGACGUAUACGGUGUGACGCCUGCCCGGUGCUGGAAGGUUAAUUGAUGGGGUCAGCCGUAAGGCGAAGCUCCUGAUCGAAGCCCCAGUAAACGGCGGCCGUAACUAUAACGGUCCUAAGGUAGCGAAAUUCCUUGUCGGGUAAGUUCCGACCUGCACGAAUGGCGUAAUGAUGGCCAGGCUGUCUCCACCCGAGACUCAGUGAAAUUGAACUCGCUGUGAAGAUGCAGUGUACCCGCGGCAAGACGGAAAGACCCCGUGAACCUUUACUAUAGCUUGACACUGAACAUUGAGCCUUGAUGUGUAGGAUAGGUGGGAGGCUUUGAAGUGUGGACGCCAGUCUGCAUGGAGCCAACCUUGAAAUACCACCCUUUAACGUUUGAUGUUCUAACCUAGGCCCAUAAACUGGGUCGGGGACCGUGUCUGGUGGGUAGUUUGACUGGGGCGGUCUCCUCCUAAAGAGUAACGGAGGAGCACGAAGGUUGGCUAAGCAUGGUCGGACAUCAUGCGGUUAGUGCAAAGGCAUAAGCGCUUGACUGCGAGAGUGACGGCUCGAGCAGGUACGAAAGUAGGUCUUAGUGAUCCGGUGGUUCUGAAUGGAAGGGCCAUCGCUCAACGGAUAAAAGGUACUCCGGGGAUAACAGGCUGAUACCGCCCAAGAGUUCAUAUCGACGGCGGUGUUUGGCACCUCGAUGUCGGCUCAUCACAUCCUGGGGCUGAAGUAGGUCCCAAGGGUAUGGCUGUUCGCCAUUUAAAGUGGUACGCGAGCUGGGUUUAGAACGUCGUGAGACAGUUCGGUCCCUAUCUGCCGUGGGCGUUGGAAGAUUGAGAGGGGUUGCUCCUAGUACGAGAGGACCGGAGUGAACGCACCACUGGUGUUCGGGUUGUCAUGCCAAUGGCAUUGCCCGGUAGCUAAGUGCGGAAGAGAUAACCGCUGAAAGCAUCUAAGCGGGAAACUUGCCUCGAGAUGAGUCUUCCCUGUCGCUUUAAGCGACCUAAAGGAACGUUUAAGACUAAGACGUUGAUAGGCUGGGUGUGUAAGCGUAGCGAUACGUUGAGCUAACCAGUACUAAUGAACCGUGAGGCUUAACCUG
This 2901-nucleotide ribosomal RNA is filed under the name Proteus mirabilis. RNAcentral describes it as "23S ribosomal RNA". It matches the Rfam family "Bacterial large subunit ribosomal RNA". Lineage: Bacteria; Pseudomonadati; Pseudomonadota; Gammaproteobacteria; Enterobacterales; Morganellaceae. The record is from RNAcentral.